AGCUCUUUAUAUUAAAGAGUCGCAGCAUUAACACUGGUACCUCAAGGUUGAGGUCUCUCCACCAAGGGCAACUCUGUUCCAGUCACCCAGGCUAAUACCCAGCCCAAACCGCUGCCACUGGUCAAGUUCAGUCCAGCACAGACCCUUGAGUCACCGGUGGUCAGUCAGAUGACCUUGGCUCCUGCGCGGGCCUGUGUUUCCGGAGCUUCACCGCAGCACUGCUGGCCCGGCGCUGUGAAUGCGGGCUCGUGAGCGCGCACUGCCCCACCAGCCCACAGCGCCCGCCCGUGGGCCGCGUUCGCUCAGGGUGCGCUCGGGCCAGUCCCGCCUCUCCUAGUUUUCGCUUUCGCUUUUUAUAGCUUCUCUGAAGAGAAACAAAGCGGCAGCUACGACGGCUACGACGGCCACGACCGGUAAUGGUGUUGGAGGGAAGGACAGGGGAACUCCGCAGCCUGGACCCCAGGCCCACAGGAGAGGUGGCAGCAUGCCCCGGCCCUCCUGCUGAUGUCAGGAGGCUGGACAGCCAAGAAGGAAGAAAAUGGACUCCCUCCUUCUGAAGACUCGCCAGCUGCCAGUGAGUGUGAGCUUUUGCAGGCUCCUGCAGUAGAUGUUAGGUGUUGAUACGAACCACACGUGUUCAAUGUUCGGGUUGUUUGUUGAUAUUCACAAUUUAUCUAAUAAAACCAUAAUCUGUGAAAA
Molecule: small RNA, 699 nt
Filed under: Rattus norvegicus (Norway rat)
Lineage: Eukaryota; Metazoa; Chordata; Mammalia; Rodentia; Muridae
Description: uncharacterized LOC102550895
Source: RNAcentral